Molecule: long non-coding RNA, 1336 nt
Organism: Scaptodrosophila lebanonensis
Lineage: Eukaryota; Metazoa; Arthropoda; Insecta; Diptera; Drosophilidae
Exons: 4
Source: RefSeq, a predicted model, not a curated record
AUCGUUGCAUUUGUUUUCAAAAACGGAUUCGGUAUUCGAGCCUUACAAAAUUCAUUGGCAUUCUAGAUUUCGUCAAGAGCAGUUCAAAAUUCAAGUGAAAAAAUGGUGUGAAAUUUUGUUUGUUUUAUUAUUUGUGAUAAUGUGGAUUGUUUUCAUGAAAACAAAUGGCAUUUUUAUUGUGCAAGAAAGAGCAAUAAGGCAAAAAGGCAGCUAGGCACAUCGAGCGCAAAGGAAAGGAAAACAACAGGCAGCUACAUAGAUUAAAGAUCAAAUUGAAAAAUAAAUUGAAACUAAGAAAAUCAGCAGCGAUUCAAAAGAAAAAGUGUGUGCCGAUGUAGAACUAUGCGGGUGAAAUGAUGGACGUUGACUUGGAACUGUUCAAUACAUUCGAUGUGCUGCAAUCAUCUUCAGAGCAAAUAUUCAAAUGUGGCUUUUGUAUUCAUGGCACAUACAGGCGGCUUCCUUCCUCUAGUGCAUAUGAAGCUUCAAGCUCGGCUAUUAUGUCACUGCAGUACAAUGGAUGUAAAACCUAGAUAUGAGUAUUGCUUCAUCAUCGGACUGAUGAACGUUCCGUUCGCUUAUUGAGACCAUCGUCUCCGUAAGGUAUAGGAGCUGUCAGAGCAGUUAGAGUAGUUAUGGGUUUUACUUUUAAUGUCCUGCGGCACCAUUAAGGAGGACUUGGAAAUUUCGUUUGAACUUGAAAGGGCAGCCAAUUAGGUGCUCUGCUUAUGAUGUUCGCAUUUGAGGUUUUGUGAUCGUGAUGGUUGUAUCACACCGAAUGUAGUGAGCAGCUCUUUGUCAACGCCUCUUGUUUCACGUGCAUCGUCAUUCUCCUGUUAAAAGGUGGUCGCCACAACUGACAUAGAAAGCGUUUUACUGUACACCUUCUCUAGAUCCGAUGAUCAACUUUUGAAGAAAAUUGUCAUAGCAUAGCCAAUAGGGAUGCAAGCUACCAGCUUAGGAUGAUUUAAAUAAGGUUCCUUCAGCGUUCAGAUGAAGAAGCACAAAUUGAUCUCACUUUGUGUCACCAUCGGUUCAUUAGAACUCAUUACCUCUUCUCAAGUCAACAACCAGAAGAAUGACUGUGGACUCAGAACUCGAGAUGAAUCACAAGCUCGGGAUAAUUCCGCCAGCUGCUGAAUGAGGUCUAAGCUAGUCUCUAAAUCGGCCGAAUCCAACAUUCAAUGGGAUUGGGCAACAUUAUUGUGGUUUGCAAGUCGACAAUAUGGGUGGAAUGAAUGUCAAGUCGACGUCUGCUGAUUCGAAAUUUGGCGGGCUUAAUUAAUAGUUUGUGAGACUUUUUCGCGCUCGAUUUCAAUAAAUUGGAUUGUAUAAA